Molecule: ribosomal RNA, 478 nt
Filed under: uncultured bacterium
Lineage: Bacteria
Description: partial 16S ribosomal RNA
Rfam family: Bacterial small subunit ribosomal RNA
Source: RNAcentral
GUCGAACGCUGGCGGCGUGCUUAACACAUGCAAGUCGAGCGAGGAAAUUCCUUCGGGGAUUUCCUAGCGGCGGACGGGUGAGUAACACGUGGGCAACCUGCCUGAUAGAGGGGGAUAGCCUCCCGAAAGGGAGAUUAAUACCGCAUGGCGUCAAAUGAAGGCAUCUUCAAAUGACCAUAGGAGUAAUCCGCUAUCAGAUGGGCCCGCGGCGCAUUAGCUAGUUGGUGAGGUAACGGCUCACCAAGGCGACGAUGCGUAGCCGACCUGAGAGGGUGAUCGGCCACAUUGGGACUGAGACACGGCCCAGACUCCUACGGGAGGCAGCAGUGGGGAAUAUUGCACAAUGGGGGAAACCCUGAUGCAGCAACGCCGCGUGAGUGAUGAAGGCCUUCGGGUUGUAAAGCUCUGUCUUCAGGGACGAUAAUGACGGUACCUGAGGAGGAAGCCACGGCUAACUACGUGCCAGCCGCCGCAGUAA